Molecule: ribosomal RNA, 496 nt
Filed under: uncultured bacterium
Lineage: Bacteria
Description: partial 16S ribosomal RNA
Rfam family: Bacterial small subunit ribosomal RNA
Source: RNAcentral
GAUGAACGCUGGCGGCGUGCCUAAUACAUGCAAGUCGAGCGAACAGACGAGGAGCUUGCUCCUCUGACGUUAGCGGCGGACGGGUGAGUAACACGUGGAUAACCUACCUAUAAGACUGGGAUAACUUCGGGAAACCGGAGCUAAUACCGGAUAAUAUAUUGAACCGCAUGGUUCAAUAGUGAAAGACGGUUUUGCUGUCACUUAUAGAUGGAUCCGCGCCGCAUUAGCUAGUUGGUAAGGUAACGGCUUACCAAGGCAACGAUGCGUAGCCGACCUGAGAGGGUGAUCGGCCAAACUGGAACUGAGACACGGUCCAGACCCCUACGGGAGGCAGCAGUAGGGAAUCUUCCGAAAUGGGCGAAAGCCUGACGGAGCAACGCCGCGUGAGUGAUGAAGGUCUUCGGAUCGUAAAACUCUGUUAUUAGGGAAGAACAAAUGUGUAAGUAACUAUGCACGUCUUGACGGUACCUAAUCAGAAAGCCACGGCUAACUACGU